This 234-nucleotide long non-coding RNA is filed under the name Elaeis guineensis (African oil palm). Its description in RNAcentral is "long non-coding RNA (EGUI_LNC030495)". Lineage: Eukaryota; Viridiplantae; Streptophyta; Magnoliopsida; Arecales; Arecaceae. The record is from RNAcentral.
CGUACAUUAACAUAAAUUUAUAAUUUCUUUUAGUGCCAGCAUGGAGAAAUUCUGCCUGAAACUGAAAUCAAGGGAAGGACAGGUCAUAGAGUGAGAUUUUUAGUACCAAUCCUAAAAUAUUUUACCAACAACACUAGUUGCUACCCUCAUAAAAGUUUAUAUCAUUUCAGUAUUGAUGAAAUUCAUCAAUUACUCCCUUGAUUUUAUCAACACAUGAUAAUUAAUACUAUAUUU